This 169-nucleotide ribosomal RNA is filed under the name uncultured bacterium. Its description in RNAcentral is "partial 16S ribosomal RNA". It matches the Rfam family "Bacterial small subunit ribosomal RNA", at positions 338 to 524 of the family's 1533-position model. The record is from RNAcentral.
CCUACGGGAGGCAGCAGUCGGGAAUUUUGCUCAAUGGACGAAAGUCUGAAGCAGCAACGCCGCGUGAGGGAUGAAGGCCUUCGGGUUGUAAACUCCUUUUCUCAGGAAAGAUGAUGACGGUACCUGAGGAAUAAGCCACGGCUAACUCUGUGCCAGCAGCCGCGGUAAU